This 497-nucleotide ribosomal RNA is filed under the name uncultured bacterium. RNAcentral's name for it is "partial 16S ribosomal RNA". It matches the Rfam family "Bacterial small subunit ribosomal RNA", at positions 28 to 507 of the family's 1533-position model. The record is from RNAcentral.
GAUGAACGCUGGCGGCGUGCCUAAUACAUGCAAGUCGAGCGAACAGAUGAGGAGCUUGCUCCUCUGACGUUAGCGGCGGACGGGUGAGUAACACGUGGAUAACCUACCUAUAAGACUGGGAUAACUUCGGGAAACCGGAUCUAAUACCGGAUAAUAUAUUGAACCUCAUUGUUCAAUAGUGAAAGACGGUUUUGCUGUCACUUAUAGAUGGAUCCGCGCCGCAUUAGCUAGUUGGUAAGGUAACGGCUUACCAAGGCAACGAUGCGUAGCCGACCUGAGAGGGAGAACGGAUAGACUGGAAGUGAGACACGGCACAGACUCCGACGGGAGGCAGCAGUAGGGAAUCUUCCGCGAUGGGCGAAUGCCUGACGGAGCAACGCCGCGUGAGUGAUGAAGGUCUUCGGAUGGUAGAACGAUGUUAUUAGGGAAGAACAAAUGUGUAAGUAACUGUGCACAUAUUGACGGUACCUAAUCAGAAAGCCACGGCUAACUACGUG